AUGGCCAUCGGGAAUUUAGCAUUUGCUUCGUAUUAUUUGCUUGGUUCAAAAUGAAUCAAGAUGCUGUCCUUUUUUAUGUUGCAACAUUGGAACUAUAGAAAUUGUUUGUAUUUUGUCUCUUUCUUGCUCAGGACUUUUAAAUUCUUUUUGGCACGAAGGGAACAUGCUUUCUUUCCUUUGUGUCUUUUUAGGGCCCACUUAAUUCAUGGAUUCCACCUUUCUCUAGAAUUUUACAACAGCAGCAGCAGGCUCAAAUUCCAGGACUCUCCCAAUUCUCUUUAUCAGCUCUAGACCAGUUUGCUGGAUUGUUCCCAAAUCAGAUACCCUUCCCAGGACAGGCCAGUUUUGCCCAAGGAGCCCAGGCAGGCCAAGUUGACCCCUUACAGCUUCAAACACCGCCUCAGACACAACCAGGCCCCAAUCACGUGAUACCCUAUGUAUUCUCCUUCAAAAUGCCUCAAGAGCAAGGACAGAUGUUUCAAUACUAUCCAGUUUACAUGCUCCUACCCUGGGAACAACCUCAGCAAACAGUUCCAAGGUCACCUCAACA
Molecule: small RNA, 550 nt
Filed under: Pongo abelii (Sumatran orangutan)
Lineage: Eukaryota; Metazoa; Chordata; Mammalia; Primates; Hominidae
Description: retained intron
Source: RNAcentral